AGGAGCGAGCGUGCAGUAUGGAGCCUCCUGGAUCUGGCGAAGUCCAGCUGAAAGGGCGUCUGCAGGCCCUCUACGCCAGCCUUGGCCCCAUUUUACAGAUGCGGAAACAAAGGCCCAGAGGAAGGGAAGGCGACUCGCCCAGAGGCACGAGCUUGGACUAGAACCCGAGAGCCAGAGCUCCCCCCACCCCUCCUCUGCAUCUCCUGAACGCUGAAGGGAGAGGCAGCUCUGCGGGGACGACCGGAAGCUGCCAGAGAAGUCGGUGGUGGGCAUCCGUGGAGAUCAUUGCAGAGCCUCCCUAUCGCCACGGCUGCCAUUGCUCUUGGGGACGACGGAUCAGCUGAACACAGCUCUACCCCAGGUACAAUGACGACCAGGUCAGAGCGGUACCAAGAUGGCUAACAGCCAGCCAGCCUCUCCCUUGUGGGCCAUGCUGUCCCAGGGAUCUCCAUGCCUUUGGGAGCGAGAGCUCUGAGCAAUGAUAGAAGGCCCCAGUUGCACCUCGAACCACCCAAUUCUCCAGAAGGAAAGGGCCCAGAAGGCAAAUCGGUCUACACCCUGGCUCUGGUUAGAAGGCCCUCAGUGCAUUCCUGUGAAUCACCAUGUCCAAAGUCCUAGGGGAUUCUAUUUAUUUUGAGAGAGAAAGAGAGAGAGACAGAGAGAGAGAAAGAGAGAGAGAGAGAGACCCCAAAGGAUUCUAGAUGUGAGUGGAGGCACCAUUUCUGAUUUGGGAAUACCUAAAACUCAACAGUGGUACCAAGAAGAAGCUUCUGCUGAGGACCUGCAUGGGCCAGGGAGCUUCGACCAAGACACAGGAAGGGGCUGAGAAGGUUUCCACCUGCAGCAUAUGUGAUGGGGAAGGCCAGAGGGAGGAGAGCGAGGACGAAGACCCUCGGCCUCCCACCCACACUCCCUUUUCUUUGCUGGUGCCUUCAGAUUGGGGGCGGGUGGGGGUUGUGGUCAGGAUAAUGAUCAGGAUGUACUACUUGUCUAGAGGAACCAGAUUAUUUUAUUUUUUAUUUUUUAUUUUUUUGAGAGCCAUGUGGAAGUCAAGAAGUGGGCUUGAUCUUAAGGGCGGAACAGAGAUCCUGGGUCAACCCAAGCCUUGUAGAGAAAGCGCGUAGUGGACAUUCGCCCUGGGAGCCGGGGGAUGAGGCUGUUUGUUCUUCUCUGGAGCACUGUGGAGUGUGGCUCUUGACCUCUUUGGGCCUCAGACCUCUUCAGGAUCCGGCAGAAGCUGUCUCCCUCUGCCCUGCCGGCCGCACACAUGCACAGGACAGCAUUUACGUGGCAGCCCCUCAGAAGCCCAGCUGGGCCCUGCGUUAGGAAGGAGUCCUUCAGGAAGGGGACAGCCCUGAGCCCAGGCUCCCUGGUAUCUGGGCUAAUGAGGGAUAUUAAUGACACGGAGGGUCCAGAAUGAGGAAAAUCGAAACCAGAUUUCUAUCGCGUGAGCUAAAAAGAAGCACAACACACGUCCCGCGUUGCAAUUUUGUAAAAAAGAUAACACCGGUAAAGAGAGAACGGUGAAGGCCAUGUGGACAAAUGAAAACAAUCUGCAGAAAAUGUUUGCUGAUCCCUGGUCUAGAAGCCCGGCUCUGCACCUUGCUCUCCUUGUCUGUGUAAUGUGGAAUCCGAGUUAAGUACCGCGAAAGCUCCUUCCUGGCGUGUGGUGGAGUCAUUCUGCAUUCCACGGUUCUCGCUCUGCCCUUGAGGGCCCGCGUUGCACACAUCUUUGUGUCACUAGCAGCCCCGUGAUGCCUGCACCGAGCAGGUGCUCAGGCAGCAUCAGCUGACUGGUGUUAUGGUGGCCGGAGAGGGAGCUCAGAGCCCGGCCCUGUUGCCGCACGGCUGCGUGAGCUUAGGCAGCACUUUGAGUCUCUGAGCCUCAGUUUCCUCACUUGAAAAAUGGGCAUAAUAACUUAGCACCGACUUGCUAGGGUUGCGAUGAGAAUGAAGGAGAUAAGUACCCGGGGAGGUGCCUUCGGAAGUCUUCGGUGCUGUCCAAAUGCUAGCAGCUACUGUCACUGCUGUUACUGGGCAUGUCACACGUACUCGGCUUUAUUGCCUAGUUCCAUUUGGCGUGCUUUAACUCAUAGGAUGGUUUCCCUAAGGAUGGUUGGGUUCUUGAGGGUCAAGGUGAUUCUAAAGGUCCCAGGUGAGUGGUCUCAGUGAUGGGAUGUGUGUGGCCCUGGGGCACCCCCUGCCUGAUCACUGCUUGCUCCUUUAGUUGUGAGGGCAGAGAAGGACUGGGAAGGGAUAGUUUAUUAAGACUUGGGGAGGGUGGACCCCCCGAGUCUUGGUCCCUGACCAUUCCCAGGGCGGGGGAGGGAGCCAGACCUGCACAGUGGGCUCAGUCCUGCCCCCACAGCCACCUCUGUUCAUUGAGACAGAGGAUUGGGCUCUCCCGCCCAGGCUGCCUGCCCCCUGCCCGGCGGAUCGUCCUGCCACAGGAUCUAGCUUCAUCUCUUGAUAACCUUGACCGGCCUUUGUUUAGCAUUUUCUUUUCAAUGAGCUCUCCCACAGACAUCAUUUUGUCUUCCAUAAGAAUCCCAUGUGGUAGGGAUUUUAUCUACCCCCCCUUAGAAAUGAAGAUGCUGAGGUUCAGGGAGGUUAAGACACUUGCCCACAGUGAGUGUCCCAGCUGGGAUGGGAUCUGCAUUCCUUAAUGCCAGGGCUCUUUCUGUCACACCAAGUUGCCUCUCUUCACCUGCCUCAGUUGUACCAAUGAACCUGUCUUCUCCCAGUCCCUCCCCCACUCCUGCGUGGCUUUGUCCAGGCUGACCCCCAGGCCCGGGAGAGUCCCCUUCACCCCCAUGCUGGUAUAGAGGCUGGCCCUCUCCUGCAAUGGAAACCUAGUGUGACAGCAGGGGUUCUGGAACUCCCCUCGCCUGGUCCUGACCCCUGGGUCCGGGGUGGGGGGGGUAGAGAUGGCUAGGGAAGGCGCACACUGGGGGUGCCAGGGAAGACAUGUCAGAUUCAGUUACCAUGACGUGGAAUAUUUAUGCUGCCAUGGGGCCCUGGGUGUCAUACUGCAUUAAGUGGGCACUCAGUGCCCACUCCCUCCAGCCACGAGAUCAGCUGCCUGCCCCUCUCUCCCUUCUUCCUGCUGGAUGCCAUAGUCGGUGGCAUCCCUGACCCCUGAGGAUACAGUCAGGGCCUCCUGGGUGCCCAGCCUUUGGGAGGCGCCACUUCCUAGGGACUGAGGGUUUGACUGAGGGAAGGAAGCUUUGACCCCUUAACACAUCAUUCUGGUGUCUCCAGGGGGGCAGGCUCCUAUUUCACGGUUUGGUGGGGAGAGUUCAGGCUCCGAGGACCCAUCAGACCCUCUCUGUAAGCUCAGCGCAGAGGCGAUGCCCAACGAAGCCUGGAUACAAGGGGAAGAUGGGUACAAGCCUGGAUGUCACGGGGAAGAAACUCAGACCUUGCCUCCCGAAAGGAGAAGACCCUGUCAGUCCUGUAGGGACGCCCAGCAGGCCCCUGCCAUCAAUGUGGUUUCCCUUCUGCUUUGCUCAACUUCAGUUUUGUCUCUGCAACUC
Long non-coding RNA from Neofelis nebulosa (Clouded leopard), 3536 nucleotides. RefSeq lists it as uncharacterized. The transcript has 3 exons. NCBI's taxonomy places the organism in Eukaryota, Metazoa, Chordata, Mammalia, Carnivora, Felidae. The record is from RefSeq and is a predicted model, not a curated record.